Molecule: ribosomal RNA, 262 nt
Filed under: uncultured bacterium
Lineage: Bacteria
Description: partial 16S ribosomal RNA
Rfam family: Bacterial small subunit ribosomal RNA
Source: RNAcentral
GCCGCGGUAAUACGAAGGGGGCUAGCGUUGCUCGGAAUUACUGGGCGUAAAGGGCGCGUAGGCGGAUAUUUAAGUCUCACUGUGAAAGCCUGCGGCUCAACCGCAGGAGGCCAGGGGAUACUGGAGGGCUGGAGAUAGGUAGAGGCGAGCGGAAUUCCGGGUGUAGCGGUGGAAUGCGUAGAGAUCCGGAAGAACACCAGAGGCGAAGGCGGCUCGCUGGACCUCAUCUGACGCUGAGGUGCGAAAGCGUGGGGAGCGAACA